GCCCUAGUAACGGCGAGUGAAGCGGCAACAGCCCAAAUUUGAAAUCUGACCCCCUGGGGCCCGAGUUGUAAUUUGGAGAGGAUGCCUCGGUGGAGGCCCCGGCCGAAGUGCCUUUGAACGGGCCGUCAGAGAGGGUGAGAACCCCGUCCGCGGUCGCCGGCCCCCACCGUGUGAGGCUCCUUCGACGAGUCGAGUUGUUUGGGAAUGCAGCUCUAAAUGGGAGGUAAAUUCCUUCCAAGGCUAAAUAUCCGCCAGAGACCGAUAGCGCACAAGUAGAGUGAUCGAAAGGUGAAAAGCACUUUGAAAAGAGGGUGAAACAGCACGUGAAAUUGUUGAAAGGGAAGCGCUUGCAACCAGAGUCGUCCGCGGGGGCUCCACCGACCCUCGGGCCCGGUGUACUCCCCCGCGGCCGAGCCAGCAUCAGCUCGGCCGGUCGGAUAAAGGCCGUGGGAAUGUGACACCCUCGGGUGUGUUAUAGCCCGCGGCACAAUACGGCCUGGCCGGGCUGAGGUCAGCGCCUUUGGCACGGAUGCUGGCGUAAUGGUUGUCAGCGGCCCGUCUUGAAACACGGACCAAGGAGUCUAACAUCUAUGCGAGUGUUCGGGUGUCAAACCCGUGAGCGGAAUGAAAGUGAACGGAGGUGGGAGCCCUCGGGCGCACCAUCGACCGAUCCGGAUGUCUUCGGAUGGAUUUGAGUAUGAGCAUAGCUGUUGGGACCCGAAAGAUGGUGAACUAUGCGUGAAUAGGGUGAAGCCAGAGGAAACUCUGGUGGAGGCUCGCAGCGGUUCUGACGUGCAAAUCGAUCGUC
This 808-nucleotide ribosomal RNA is filed under the name Kirschsteiniothelia aethiops. RNAcentral describes it as "partial large subunit ribosomal RNA". It matches the Rfam family "Eukaryotic large subunit ribosomal RNA", at positions 77 to 906 of the family's 3401-position model. Lineage: Eukaryota; Fungi; Ascomycota; Dothideomycetes; Kirschsteiniotheliales; Kirschsteiniotheliaceae. The record is from RNAcentral.